Molecule: long non-coding RNA, 995 nt
Organism: Acinonyx jubatus (cheetah)
Lineage: Eukaryota; Metazoa; Chordata; Mammalia; Carnivora; Felidae
Exons: 4
Source: RefSeq, a predicted model, not a curated record
UGCGCAUGCGUAACAGGCUCUGCUUCACGGCUUGCUGAAGUUUCAUUAGGGCCUAGGACCGGAAGUGCUCGGGCGUCUUGUGGCAAUACUGGGAAAUGUUGGCAGUCAAACUUUCAGAAGACCGAGUUCGCUGUGAGUAAACGAACUAGACUGAAACAGGAGACUUACAGCUGGAGGAGUAUUUAGGAACAUCUCACUUAUCUAGAAGAAAUCCCUUAUAUGGGAACAUCAACUACUUGGAAAUGUUCCAAUAAGGCAGAACACUCUUGAUAAGCAAGAGCAUCACUGUGAUCCCCGUCUACAUUUUGCUUCUCAAUUACUGAUGCACUGGCCACACUGAAGAUUCCAUGGAUGUUAACACGAACUUUAACCUUCACUUUGGAACUAUCACCAUCAGACUGCGGAAAGACAUUCUGAAUAGUGAAGCUCCCUUCAGGAAAAAAGAGCUUUUAUCAGCACAUGGGCCUCUGAUUAACUUACUCAAUUCGUUCAUUCAAUAAUUUGACUAUUAUCAUUUUGAUGCUGGCAAAUAAUCAUAAAAUUAUCAUCACAUCCAGACUGAUUACUGUGAGAAAGGCACUGAUCCUAGAUCACUUUUUUUCUUUUUUACAGCUUAAUAAACUUGAUACUAAGUUUCAGAAAAGGUUAAGCAGCCUGCCCAAAAUCUUUAAUGCAAGGACAAAGACAGAUACACAUACAGGGAGAAUGUCAUGUGAACAUAAAGAUGGCCAGCCAUCCACAAACCAAGGAGAGAAGCCUGGAACAGAUCCUUCCCUCACAGCCCUCAGAAGGAACCCUGUCAACACUUUGAUUUCAUACUUGAAGCUUCUAGAACUGUAAACAAUAAAUUCUACUGUUUAAGCCACUCAGUUUGUGGUAUUUUGUUACAGAAGCCCUAGCAAAUUAAUUCCACCUUCGAUAAUUUAUUUUUACUGCUUUCAAUAACAUAUUUGAAAUAUUCACAUUGUUCCCUUUCUAGCCUAUCAAUAAAGCAG